Molecule: non-coding RNA, 85 nt
Filed under: Rhodobacteraceae bacterium EhC02
Lineage: Bacteria; Pseudomonadati; Pseudomonadota; Alphaproteobacteria; Rhodobacterales; Paracoccaceae
Also listed under: 1 other name
Description: Glycine riboswitch aptamer
Rfam family: Glycine riboswitch aptamer
About the family: This family represents the bacterial glycine riboswitch. Glycine riboswitches usually consist of two metabolite-binding aptamers domains with similar structures in tandem.
Source: Rfam by way of RNAcentral
GGCGUCAGAUCGGGAGAACCGGGAAACCGGUGCCGAAGGAGCAACCGCCCCGGAAACUCUCAGGCCCAAGGACCGGUCGGACAUG